UAUCAAAAACAUCACCUCUAGCAUAAAUAGUAUUAGAGGCAUUGCCUGCCCAGUGACAUACGUUUAACGGCCGCGGUAUCCUGACCGUGCAAAGGUAGCAUAAUCACUUGUUCUUUAAAUAGGGACUUGCAUGAAUGGCUGAACGAGGGUUUAUCUGUCUCUUACUUCCAAUCAGUGAAAUUGACCUCCCCGUGAAGAGGCGGGGAUAAAAAAAUAAGACGAGAAGACCCUAUGGAGCUUUAAUCUAAUUAGCUUAAGCAUAAAUUAAUAUCAAUUUCUAUAAGAAAAUAAAAUCUUCUGCUCAUGAGCUAUAGAUUUUGGUUGGGGUGACCUCGGAGCAUAACAAAACCUCCGAAUGAUUUUAAUCCAGACUUACCCGUCUAAAUUUAUAUUCAUUAAUUGACCCAAACUAUUGAUCAACGGAACAAGUUACCCUAGGGAUAACAGCGCAAUCCUACCCAAGAGUCCAUAUCGACAGUAGGGUUUACGACCUCGAUGUUGGAUCAGGACAUCCAAAUGGUGCAGCAGCUAUUAAUGGUUCGUUUGUUCAACGAUUAAAGUCCUACGUGAUCUGAGUUC
This 579-nucleotide ribosomal RNA is filed under the name Funambulus pennantii (Northern palm squirrel). RNAcentral's name for it is "partial 16S ribosomal RNA". It matches the Rfam family "Bacterial large subunit ribosomal RNA", at positions 1805 to 2612 of the family's 2925-position model. Lineage: Eukaryota; Metazoa; Chordata; Mammalia; Rodentia; Sciuridae. The record is from RNAcentral.